Molecule: non-coding RNA, 102 nt
Organism: Schistosoma mansoni
Lineage: Eukaryota; Metazoa; Platyhelminthes; Trematoda; Strigeidida; Schistosomatidae
Source: Rfam
UUUGGCGACCAUAUCACGUUGAAAGCACCGGUUCUCGUCCGAUCACCGUAGUUAAGCAACGUUGGGCUUGGUCAGUAAGUAAUCCUUAUUUCGGUGUUAUAA